Molecule: small RNA, 990 nt
Filed under: uncultured Agaricales
Lineage: Eukaryota; Fungi; Basidiomycota; Agaricomycetes; Agaricales
Description: eukaryotic LSU rRNA
Rfam family: Eukaryotic large subunit ribosomal RNA (bases 704-990)
Source: RNAcentral
CUUGGUCAUUUAGAGGAAGUAAAAGUCGUAACAAGGUUUCCGUAGGUGAACCUGCGGAAGGAUCAUUACAGAAUAAACUUGAUGGAUUGUUGCUGGCUCUCUCUUGGGAGCAUUGUGCACGUUCAUUAUUUUUAUCUUUCCACCUGUGCACCCUUUGUAGUUCUGGAAUACCUUUAUAGUUAAAGCUUGUCCCAAGUCUUAACUAUGUUUUUGAAGGCUUGCUGUGCUAUUAAAGUCGGCUUUCCUUUACAUUUUCCAGAUCUAUGUUUUUACAUCUACACCAUGUAUGUUAAAGAAUGUCAUUUAAGGCCUUACAAAGCCUAUAUAAACCAUAUACAACUUUCAGCAACGGAUCUCUUGGUUCUCGCAUCGAUGAAGAACGCAGCGAAAUGCGAUAAGUAAUGUGAAUUGCAGAAUUCAGUGAAUCAUCGAAUCUUUGAACGCACCUUGCGCUCUUUGGUAUUCCGAAGAGCAUGCCUGUUUGAGUGUCAUUAAAUCAUCAAAUUGUUCAAUUUUAUUAUUGAAUAUAUUUGGAUGUGGAAGUGUUGUUGGCCCCCUCGGUCAGCUCUUCUAAAAUGUAUUAGCCGGAAGCUUUUGUAACCGUCUAUUGGUGUGAUAAUUAUCUAUACCAUUGACAGCUACGCACUUAGUAUAAGCAUUCUGCUCCUAACCCGUCUGUGUAUGCGGACAAUCUUUGACAAUUUGACCUCAAAUCAGGUAGGACUACCCGCUGAACUUAAGCAUAUCAAUAAGCGGAGGAAAAGAAACUAACAAGGAUUCCCCUAGUAACUGCGAGUGAAGCGGGAAAAGCUCAAAUUUAAAAUCUAGCAGCCUUUGGUUGUUCGAGUUGUAAUCUAGAGAAGUGUUAUCCGUGUUGGACCGUGUUUAAGUCUCCUGGAAUGGAGCGUCAUAGAGGGUGAGAAUCCCGUCUUUGACACGGACUACCAAUGCAUUGUGAUGCGCUCUCAAAGAGUCGAGUUGUUUGGGAAU